GACGAACGCUGGCGGCGUGCUUAACACAUGCAAGUCGAACGGGAAGGCCCUGCUUUUGUGGGGUGCUCGAGUGGCGAACGGGUGAGUAACACGUGAGUAACCUGCCCUUGACUUUGGGAUAACUUCAGGAAACUGGGGCUAAUACCGGAUAGGAGCUCCUGCUGCAUGGUGGGGGUUGGAAAGUUUCGGCGGUUGGGGAUGGACUCGCGGCUUAUCAGCUUGUUGGUGGGGUAGUGGCUUACCAAGGCUUUGACGGGUAGCCGGCCUGGGAGGGUGACCGGCCACAGUGGGACUGGGAUACGGCCCAGACUCCUACGGGAGGCAGCAGUGGAGAAUGUUGCACAAUGGGCGGAAGCCUGAUGCAGCAACGCCGCGUGCGGGGUGACGGCCUUCGGGUUGUAAACCGCUUUCGCCUGUGACGAAGCGUGAGUGACGGUAAUGGGUAAAGAAGCACCGGCUAACUACGUG
Molecule: ribosomal RNA, 468 nt
Filed under: uncultured bacterium
Lineage: Bacteria
Description: partial 16S ribosomal RNA
Rfam family: Bacterial small subunit ribosomal RNA
Source: RNAcentral